CAAUAGCGUAUAUUAAUGUUGUUGCAGUUAAAAGGCUCGUAGUUGGAUUUCUGGUGGGAACGCCGGUCCGGCUCCGCAAGGGGUCGUGAAUUGGUUUCUCCUGCCAUCCUCAGGGGGAGCUGCGCUGGUAUUCAUUUAUCGGUGUAGUCACGCCUGUCGUUUACUGUGAACAAAUUAGAGUGUUCAAAGCAAGGUGUACUUGAAUACAUUAGCAUGGAAUAAUAAGAUAGGACUUUGGUGGUUCUUUUUUGAUAUUUUGUUGGUUUGCACGCCAAAGUAAUGAUUAAUAGGAGCAGUUGGGGGUAUUCGUAUUCAAUUGUCAGAGGUGAAAUUCUUGGAUUUAUAGAAGACGAACUACUGCGAAAGCAUUUACCAAGGAUGUUUUCAUUAA
This 391-nucleotide ribosomal RNA is filed under the name uncultured eukaryote. RNAcentral's name for it is "partial 18S ribosomal RNA". It matches the Rfam family "Eukaryotic small subunit ribosomal RNA", at positions 592 to 976 of the family's 1831-position model. The record is from RNAcentral.